AUACGGAGGGUGCAAGCGUUAAUCGGAAUUACUGGGCGUAAAGAGUACGUAGGUGGUUUGUUAUGUCAGAUGCGAAAGCCCCGGGCUCAACCUGGGAACUGCAUUUGAAACUGAUAAGCUAGAGUAUGGUAGAGGGGGGUAGAAUUUCUAGUGUAGCGGUGAAAUGCGUAGAUAUUAGAAGGAAUAACAGUGGCGAAGGCGGCCCCCUGGACCAAUACUGACACUGAGGUACGAAAGCGUGGGGAGCGAACAGGAGUAGAUACCCUAGUAGUCC
Molecule: ribosomal RNA, 274 nt
Filed under: uncultured bacterium
Lineage: Bacteria
Description: partial 16S ribosomal RNA
Rfam family: Bacterial small subunit ribosomal RNA
Source: RNAcentral